UGAGCAAUCUGCCCUUCUCAUCGGAAUAAGCGUUGGAAACGACGUCUAAUGCCGAAUACGUCCUCCUUUCGCAUGAUCGGAGGUGGAAAGCUCCGGCGGAGAAGGAUGAGCUCGCGGCCUAUCAGCUAGUUGGUGUGGGUAAUGGCCCACCAAGGCGACGACGGGUAGCCGGCCUGAGAGGGUGACCGGCCACACUGGGACUGAGACACGGCCCAGACUCCGUACGGGAGCA
RNAcentral lists this ribosomal RNA (232 nucleotides) under uncultured bacterium. Its description in RNAcentral is "partial 16S ribosomal RNA". It matches the Rfam family "Bacterial small subunit ribosomal RNA", at positions 118 to 347 of the family's 1533-position model. The record is from RNAcentral.